Molecule: long non-coding RNA, 1027 nt
Organism: Pyrus x bretschneideri (Chinese white pear)
Lineage: Eukaryota; Viridiplantae; Streptophyta; Magnoliopsida; Rosales; Rosaceae
Exons: 2
Source: RefSeq, a predicted model, not a curated record
AAAAAAAUCAAUCAAAUUGAAAAUUAUUUAACUAUUUAAUUUACAUGGGCAAAACUUUAGUGAGUAACUGAUUGAAAUAACUGUUAAUGACUACUUGAUUUCGUAUUUAGUUAAAUUUUUUAUAAAAAAAUAUCUUUAAAAAAUGUAAAGUAAUUUAAUAGAAAGUAGACAAUUUGAAUUAUUGUGCAAGAUUACAAACCGUAAAAAAUAAUCAAAAUAUCUGUGUGGGAGAAAUAUCAAACUAUAAACCAAAAUCUAGCCGUUGCGAGUGCCAGUGUGCCACUGAUCUAUUUCUAAAGCUAGAAUCGGCCUUCUCUUUGAAAUAGGUAAUAGUUAGACUGUCUGUUAAAACCCUGAGCCAGAUUUUUCUUACCUUUAUGAAAACAAGAAAUGUAGAAAGAUGCCGUUGUCUGCCAUUAACAGUCUCUGUUUCCAAAACCAACCCAAUGCAUCGAACUUUCGUCAGAAAUUAAUAAAUAGAAAAUCUAACUCUCCGAUUUUCUUCAGACCCCCCAUUAACCAUAUUUACUUCUCGAUCCAAUCAUGUGGUCCUCUCUCACCAAACUAGGGUUUCUUUCCCAUUAGUCCCAUGAGCCCCACCCCCAUCUCUAUUUAAAGUCCCUUUAGACCACCAUCCCUCUUCACAAGUGGAACUAGGGUUUCUCUUCACGACUACGGUUUGUCUUUUAGUUUGUAGAUCUGUAAAUGUGAGUAAAUGGGAGCUCCCUUUGAUUCAAAAGCAGGAGGGAGAGAGGGUCUUACACUGCUGCUGGUUCAUGGAUACCUCUGGGGUGCGCACGGUUUUUGUGGCUUCAGGGUGCGUAAGAAAUUUAGCCUGAAAUACGUUGAAGGGCAUGCAUAUGCGGACCCGGACGGAGCACCAUAUCAUUUAGUUUCUUUUUUGCUUGUGUAAAUCUACGAAAGCCAAAUGAUUUUUGUUGUCCAAAUUUGCCAGGGAAUGUUCAUGGCGUUUUUCCAGACUGCGUGACUCUGUAAACUAAUUAAACAAACACAUUCAAUGAAUUAA